GACGAACCGUGCGAACGUUGUUCGGAAUCACUGGGCUUAAAGGGCGCGUAGGCGGGGCCACAAGUCUGCGGUGAAAGCCUCCAGCUCAACUGGAGAAGUGCCGUGGAUACUGUGGUCCUCGAGGAGGGUAGGGGCAUCUGGAACGUUGGGUGGAGCGGUGAAAUGCGUUGAUAUCCAACGGAACUCCGGUGGCGAAGGCGAGGUGCUGGACCCUUUCUGACGCUGAGGCGCGAAAGCCAGGGGAGCGAACGGG
RNAcentral lists this ribosomal RNA (253 nucleotides) under uncultured Zavarzinella sp. RNAcentral describes it as "partial 16S ribosomal RNA". It matches the Rfam family "Bacterial small subunit ribosomal RNA", at positions 524 to 776 of the family's 1533-position model. The record is from RNAcentral. Lineage: Bacteria; Pseudomonadati; Planctomycetota; Planctomycetia; Gemmatales; Gemmataceae.